GGAGCUUUGGACCAUGGGAGUUGGGAAGGUGAUCUGGCUCAGGGCCAUUUUUCUUACAAGGGUCAAAGAUUUCUACCCUGUUGGAAGAAGCCACUGUUGAAGUGUGAAAGGCUACUCUGCUUUCUGCGUCCAUUUAACCUUUGGCCUGCCCUAAAGAGCCAGCCAAGUGUCAAUCAGGGCUGAUUGGGCACCUGUGCCUGGAAACAAGACAGAGAAAUUUAGCUCUUCCAGGUCAUCAAACCAUCUCCAGAUGGCAAAGAACUUCUGAAGUUAUGAACCUAACUUGCUUGUGAUGCAAAUUAGUGACCUAGGGUGAGAUGCUUCAUUAAUGCUUACUCCUGUGAGCCUCCAAGGUGUCAGAAGUUGGACUGCUUACUCUCACAUUUUUUUUUUGCUGUGUAAUGUGCAUUAAAAUAAUUUAUAUUCAUAGAGAUGGUCCAAUAAAUUGCAUAUGGCUAGUUAAUAAGCUGCUAAAGCAGAGAAGAAAAUUAGAUUUCAUUUAGAAGAAAACAAUAUUUGGCUUUCCCCAUGGAAAUAUGUGAAAAAGCUUUAGAAAAUUCUGUUAACAUUGAG
Molecule: long non-coding RNA, 573 nt
Filed under: Homo sapiens (human)
Lineage: Eukaryota; Metazoa; Chordata; Mammalia; Primates; Hominidae
Description: HSALNT0351456
Source: RNAcentral